This 4150-nucleotide long non-coding RNA is filed under the name Marmota monax (woodchuck). Lineage: Eukaryota; Metazoa; Chordata; Mammalia; Rodentia; Sciuridae. The record is from RNAcentral.
GGGGGAUAGUUGAGGAUAGGAAAGGUAGCAGAAUACAACAGUUACUAAUAGGGCAUUAUGUAAAAAUGUGGAUGUGUAACCAACGUGAUUCUGCAAUCUGUAUUUGGGGUAAAAUUGGGAGUUCAUAACCAACUUGAAUCUAAUGUAUGAAAUAUGAUAUGUCAAGAGCUUUAUAAUGUUUUGAACAACCAAUAAAAAAAAAUCUUUGCUUCUCUUCCAUAUUCUAUCCCCACUAACCUCAUUUUUUUUUUUUUGAGAACAUAUCCAUGCUGAUGUGGCUGAGGUUGUUUCUCAGUAUGGAGAUCACUGGUCACUGUUCACUGGCCACCAGCCACUCUGAUGACUGGUUACUGGUCACUGGUCACUUGUGAUAAUCCAAAUUUGUUUCCAACUGCAUGGUAAUCCUAAGAUUCUAGCAGGUGGCAAUAAGUUUGGUAGGAGAAUGAAGUCACAAAAUUGGUCGUUGAAAGUUAUGACAUAGCCAAUAGUGCAGUCAGCCUCCCAAGGAGAUGGUGGGAUUGGGUGUGGAAAAUGACAAGAGAGUUGAUUUGGUGAAGAAGGUGAUAAGAGAGGUAUAAUAGAAACUAAUGGCUUAGUUCUGGACAGGUGAAACCCUGCAAGAGGACAUAAUGGGCUCACCUCAUGGCUCCCCUACCCCAGGCCCUUGUGUUAGGGAUACCAUCUCAGUGUUCCUUCUAAAUGUUCAUUAAAAUCUUAUGAAAAUUUUAUAAAUUACAUUUCACAGCAUAAGAGGUAAUAGUGUAUACAUUGCUAUAUUAACAAGUACAGAUAAUAUCUCUGGAGAUGGAAGAAAGACAUCUAGUUUGAGCAAGUAUAGUGGUUCUGGAACCAUACAAAUUCAUCUGAUUAGUGAAUUUCCUGCAGUUUUCAAGGAUUAAGAAAGGUGUUAGUUAAAGAGGGUUUUUUUUAGUUUUAGUAGACAGAAUACCUUUAUGUUAUUCAUUUAAUUUUAUGUGGUGCUGAGGGUCAAGCCUAUUGCCCACAGAUGCUAGGCUAAUGUUCUACCACCGAUCCACAACUGCAGCCCUAGGGUGAAGGUGAAGUUCCUUGAGUGCAUUCUCUGGGGAAUGAUGUGGUCCAAGAUUCUCUUUAGUUUCUUCUUGACUUCUACUUUCUUUGGCCUUGCCUGGGCCAGGUGGGACUGGUAAUUCUCUUCUGCUCUCCUUCCCCAACACCUCUUCAUUGUAAACAUUGUUUCAUGGACAAGCCUUGACUCUGCAUUCAUAUACUCAUCAAUAUUACUUUCUUUUGACUCCAGGAGCAAGGGUAUUCUUUUCUGUGAGCUGAUUUUUGGAAAAAUGAACUCUGAACAAUAGAAGCAUACUCUAGAGAGGUGGAAGACCCAGCUGACUAUAAAAUUUUCCUCUUCUGGACUUUUGUUGUACUGCUUUAACUUAUAGUUUGCUGCAGACAGUACCUUUGGUCAUGUAGACAUCCUGCUAUCAGGCUCUUUCAUAUGUGAGAGGCCCUGAGGAUCUUUUCUCUCUUCUUAUGUAAGUGGAUCCAAUGUGGCAGUUACUGUGACUUCCUCCCCCUUGCCAACAGCCACUAUAGAAUCUUGGGCUUCUCACAUUCUUUGUCUUGCAUGCUUGGAUUGAAGGCCAGGAGGAUAGCUACAACAUUAGGAGAACAUAAGAGAGGGUAAAUAAAGAAAACAGUGGUUAACAUGGAUUUUUAAAAAAUUUUUAUUUUUGCCAGAAGCAAUUCAACACAUUUAGGUCUCAUUCUGUGUUAAUAAAAGACGCAAUAAAAUUUUUUGGGGGGGAGUGCAGUUUCUGGGAAUUUAAACCAGGGAAGCUUUUCCAUUACAUCACAUCCCCAGCCCUUGUUGUUUGUCCUUUGAGACAGGGUUACACUAUGUUUCUUAGGGCUUUUCUAAGUUGCUGAGACUCGUCUUGAACUUGUGAUUUUCCAUCCUCAGGCUUUGAUUUUCUGGGAUUACUGGCAUGUUCCACUGAACCUAGCUUGUUCACCCCUCCCAUACAUAUAAAAACAUAAGACUGUCGACUGCAGAAGUUGAGCAAUGCCUAAAUCAAAGUUACUUGUUUCUUCAAGCUCAUUGGGAAGUGUUUCUGACAGUGAGGUUGAGAAAAAGUUAAAGAGGAAAAAGCAAGUUGCUCCAGAAAAACCUGUAAAGAAGCAAAAGACUGUUGAAACUUAGAGAGCUCUGUCAUCUUGUAAGCAAAGCAGCAGCAGCAGCAGCAGAAAUGAUAAUAUGUUUCAGACUGGGAAAAUGAGGUACCUCAGUGUUUGGGAUUUUAAAGGGAAAGUUCUAAUUGAUAUUAGAGAACAUUGGAUGGAUCCAGAAGGUGAAAUGAAACCAGGAAGAAAAGGUAUUUCUUUAAAUCCUGAGAAGUGGAACCAGCUGAAGGAACAGAUUUCUGACAUUGAUGGUGCAGAAAGAAAACUCUAAAAUCUGAGCCAUACAAAUCCUGUAGUGUUCUGGUUGUUUUAAUCUGUCUUUUUACAUUGACUUUUGUUUUCUAAACAUUGUUUUCCAAGCUAUUGUAUAUUUGGAUUGCAGAACAAUUUGUAAGAUGAAUACCUUUUUAAAUGUGCAUUAUCAAAAAUGUUCUGGGGCUGGGAUUGUGGCUCAUCAGUAGAGCACUCGGCUUGCAUGGGCAGGACCCGGGUUUGAUCCUCAGCACCAAAUAAAAUUAAAGGCAUUGUGUUAUGUCCAUCUAUACCUAAAAAAUAAAUAUUUUUUAAAAAUUGUCAAAUUUAUUAAGGAGGAUUGCUUUGUGCCCAACACCUAGUGUAAAAUAAAAUCAAGUAAUUACAAUCUUAACUGCUGUGGCCUUUUUUGAUCAAAAGACUAGAUACUCUUUAAGGCCAAAAUUAACAGUUUUAUACACCUAUUAGUUUUAACUCAGUUUUUACAUGAAAAAGAUUUGCAUUGCAUUGAGUUUUUUAACAUUUGAUUUGUGAAAUCCAUACUCUUUCAGCCAAAUGAUAAAAUUUGUCCCAGUCACUUUUUUAAAAUUCAUUUUCACUUAAUAACAAUCUCUUUAUUUUUAUUUCACUUUUUUCAUUGAAUAUAUUAUACUAAUUUGAAAAGUUUGUGAAACUUGUCAAAAUGUUAGUUCAAUAAGGUACUCAUAAUUAAAAUAAGGGAACUACAGUCACUAAAUCUGUAGUAAUUAUUAGAGCAGAUACAAUUUGGUAAUGUGGCUUGUGUGAAAACUUUAAGCAAGUGUAUGUCAUUACCUCAUAGUGUUCUGUGUAGUUAUCUUACUGCUUAGUGUACAGAAAAUAAUGAUUAGAUGUCUGAUUAGUUUUCUCUUAGUAAACAUGUUUACCAUGGGAUGAUGUCUGUAAAAUCAGAAAUUGUUAAAUUAGACUAGGAUUUAAUAGAAAUGGUGAAAGCUUUUAAAAAAAAAAACCCACAGGAAGACAAGCGCGUAUAUAGAAAAAAUUGCUCAUAUAUGAAAAUACAUAUUGCAGUUAUAGACCUAUUUUCCCCAUCUCUUCCAAUGCUAAUUAUGGAAUAUAAUUUUUUGAUGCCUGUGUGGGGGUAAUGUUUAGCUGAAAAGGAAUUGUGGAAUGUUUGGCAGUAUAAAGAUAUGACUUGGACUAUGUAAACUUUUUAAAGAUUUUUUUUUUCCUUUUUAGCUCAAUUGCAUACCUCAGAUACCUUACUUCUAUAAUACUGGUAUGUAAUAUGAGACUAAGAACAUACAGUGAGUAUCUGCAAGCCAGAUCAUUCCAUAAGUUCUCUGGGAAAUCAAGGGUAUCCACAGCUACUAUAGGUUAAGAGUAUAAGGAAAUGUGUGCAGACCUCAUGAAUGCAGCAAAGCCUUUAUUCAGCUGUGGAGUCAGGUAUCAGAUGGGCAGACUUUCUGGUUAAAAAUGGCCACCCAUUUCUAGGAUUUCUGUUUGAUUUUGUUUAUAUAACCUCUAUCUCCCUGUAGAGUUGUUCUUUUCCUUCUUGGAUUUGUUUAUGUAAUUCAUUGUCGAAAUGAUCUUUCAUUGUUUGCAUUUGCUGUCUAAUGUGGCUGUAUAACCAAUGUAAUCCUGCAACCUGUACACGUGGAAAUAUGAGAAUUCAUACCCCAUUUGAAUCAAAUGUAUGAUAUGUCAAGAUCAUUGUAUUGUCAUGAGCAACUAAUAAAAAAAAGAAAAUGGCCAC